RNA transcript from Bicyclus anynana (squinting bush brown), 5472 nucleotides. It is a transcript of the gene named phospholipid transfer protein C2CD2L, with no coding region annotated. The record is from RefSeq and is a predicted model, not a curated record. Lineage: Eukaryota; Metazoa; Arthropoda; Insecta; Lepidoptera; Nymphalidae. The transcript is spliced from 21 exons.
CAAACCAGUGCGGCACAGACUGUGUAUGGGACGGACGUUUUCGCGCCCAUUUUAUCGAUCGCUUACAAUACAUUCGAUUGUGUGUUAUUGUGUGUGUUUUUAUUACGAAAACCUGAUUAAUAGUACACAGUCGUUAAAAAAAUAAUUAAAGUAUGAAUAGGUUAUAUUUCGUUUACUGAUUUUGUUAAUUGUUUGUUUCUUAAACUUAAAAACAUUGUGGUUUAUGGUUCGUGUAAGUUAAAUCGUGUUUUGGACGUAAAGUGAGAGUUUCGACCGCACCAUGGUGUGAAAUCCAAAAAGAAAAACACGGCAGAGACAAUCUUGAACCACGACAAACGAACGAACGAGGCAAUAUAAAAGCAAUAACAUUAAAUGCCUUAGCAAAUAUGUGUUCAUAAAACUCGAAUAACAUUAACCAAAAAAAAAAAAACGCAAAAGAACAUUGUUGUAUGUGAAGGUAAUUAUGCGAAUUUUAAUUUGAACGCGUUCAUAAAAAGCAGAAAAAUCAAUUUGUUGCUGAACGAUAAAGGACGACGACAGUAUAAAAAAAACAAUCGAAUGCAGAUAAAUAUGCGAAUUCGAAAUUCGAAUUUCGUGCGCGCGUAAGAGCGAGACGGGUGAAGACAGAGAGCUGCGUCCAAAAAUAGCGCGUUCGGAAAUAGAACUAAAAAAAUGUCCGGCCCAGAAUCAGUAGAGGCGAACGAGGCGGCGAAAGCCCACGAAUGGUGGCUGACACCAUGGAAAACUAUGGCUGACUUAGCUGAAGCGGUUGACGAUCUCAUAUGCAGCUUCGAUUAUAUGGACACAGCCAUGGACAACCUAGUGAUGCUCGUCUUCAUUUGGAUCCUGAUCUCCAUAAUCAUCCUCGGUGUCGCUAAAUGGGCGUACGGGAGAUUCAGCAAGAAGCCAGUGGAGGAGAAAGUGGAUAAACCAAAGCCUGCCGAAGAAAAGAAGAUGGCUACCGAAAUUAUCACAAGCACAGACAGUAUACUAGCAACCACAGCCAAGGUUACCAGUAAAUCAACGUUCAAGCCAACUAAACCUACAGGCUUCGUCCCGGCGACCCCGCCUAAUAAGAAGAGGCUGGGUCGCAUGUCACCGGGUCCCGAACAACUGACGUUCAAGAAACACCAGAGCAUCGUCAUCCCUACAUGCACCGGGCCCGACACACCGAGCGUGCAGUGGGUGAACGAAACAUUGACGUGGUUAUAUAAUGAUCUUGUUAUUGUGAAUGAACUUGUGCAGCAAUGGAUUGUGUCCAUGAACGAGUUCUCCAAGAAGUCCGUGGAGGAGCAAGGCAUCGGCGUGGAGUUGGUGCGCGCGCUGGACAGCCACCCGCCCAGCGUGUCCAACGUGUUCUGCGAGUGCGACUCCAAGGACGACGUGACCAUAACGUGUGACUGCGAGGCCACGCCGGCCUUCCAGCUGAAAGCCUUCAGCCAGCGCGGAGAGAAAGUAGAGGUCUCACAUUACAGGAUCAAUGUUAACAAAUUCCGCGCCCGGCUGCACGUGGUGUGCAUCACGGACAAGCUGACCGGCGAGCUGAAGUGCGACGGCUGGCCGGACGUCAAGGUGGCCCUCGCGCCUGUCGGGCCUCUGCGCCCCAACGCGGACGAGUCGGAACUACAGCAGCUUAUAAGUGAUAUAGUAGUAAGUGCCCUUCGAAACACUCACCUGUACUUCAACUUCGCGCCCUACCCCACCUGCCCCCGACUCAGACGAUAUGUGCCCGAGGCUGCGCCGCGGCUACCCCUUCAUUAUGACUCUAUGCUCCAAUCCGAGCGCCACAACAUGUACACUUCAACGCCCAACUCCACCGCGGGCUGCGUCCAGCUGCUGGGCGACAAGCGACUGCUGGUCAAGGUCGUCGGCGCUAAAGACUUAGGAGGCAAGUCAGGUUGCGUGGCGCCGUACUGCGUGGUGGAGAUGGACGAGCCGCCGCAGAAGAACCAGACCGGCUUCAAGAAGGACACCGCCAGCCCGCAGUGGGAGGAGCACUUCCUCUUCGAUCUGUCUCCACAAACCGCUGAGCUGCUGUUCGAGGUGUACGACCGCACCGGCCCGCCGUCGCCCGGCAACUCCACCUCACAGCACCGGUUCCUAGGAUUAGGUCUGGUGGGUAUAGACGAACUCCUGGCCGCGCCCUCUCAGCGACAGCAGAUAGGGCUCCAGACACGACCCAUGGAGGAGCACGACGUCAGCGGGAGCCUUACUGUUGAGUUCCUUUUCAUAGAGGGCGCUGACAUCCCCGACCUGGGCACGAAGCCGUUCAAGAUCAAGGAGAGUCUUCGCACGGUGUCGCCUCAGGGACGACUCACCACCACCACCAAGACCACCUUCCAACAAAAUGGUCACGACACCAGCCAGCUGACCGAAUCCGCCCUGCGCGAGCUAGAGCUGAGUCCGGCCAGUGCGACUAACAAGUCCACGCUCAUCAUACACUCCGUGCAGCGGGAGCCGACAAAGUCCAUUAAGGUGGAAAUUACUGAUUCUGGAAAAUUUAUCGAAGUUGAGAGGGAAGCCAUAGAGAAUAAUCUACCGGCCAUUGACAAGACGGAAUUGAAAGAACAAAAGAGUGUGACACCAAACCAAUCUCCCGCCAAAAGCGUAAGGAUAAAAGAAAAUGGCGCCAAGGCAAAUGGCGAUACCGAAGCGAUGAAACAAGGCGGUUACGUGCAGCAAGAGGAAACAAAGCCCGAGCCUGCGCCGAGACAAAAGAGAAAAAGGGACUUCUUUGGAACUAUAAAAAGAAGAUUAGGCAGAUCACGGAACCGUGGCGCCUCCCUCGAUCUCGAAGAACAGGACAUGGAGAAUCAACGUAUAAGAAGCAUUAGCGCGGAACGAAAUAGCCACGACAAAGCUCUAACUCUGCCAAAUAGAAACGUGUACUCGGCGGGUGCGUCCCCCGCACAGUCUGGAGAUGAAUCUAGAACUUCACGAAGAUCGUCCCUCAGCGAAGUUUCCGGAUUCAGUACAGCAUCAGCGCGGACCUUCAUCCAUGAAGCCUCCACGUUAGUCCUGGAGACCCUAGAGGCAGGGAUCAAGAAACACUACUUGGUGCCUCUGACAGUAGCGCAGAGAUCAAGAUGGAGGCGAAAGGGCGUCAAACUGCAUAUUUAUAACGAGCACACUUUCAUCGCUAAACAUCUUAGCGGUGGAACAGUGUGCGAAGUGUGCAACAAGACAGUCGCGCGGCGCCUCGGCAAGCAAGGCUACGAGUGCCGCGACUGCGCCAUGAAGUGCCACAAGCACUGCCACGUGCGCGUGCCCACCGCCUGCGCCAACUCCACCGUGCACAAUAUGGAGCUAUCCAUGCUCCCAGUGCUAAGCGAAUAAUGAAGCUAAGAAGACUGCAAGAAAAAUAUAUAAAAAAAACUAAAAAAAAAUCGCGAGCUAUUCAGGUCCUUUGAGAGUACUAAAGGCUUACAUCACGUCGCCAUACACGGACAAAAAUAUAAGAAUGUUGUUGUAAUCUUCGGCUUAUGCACACGUGAAUAAUACAAAAUAAACUAAUUAUUCGCCUGUUUAGAGUGUAUCUAAAUUUAAAAAAAAUGUUGAAAUAUAAUAUGUACUAGGUAUAUCAAUUACAAUCCUUCGCGAGGAGUGUACUUAUUUCUGUUUUGUGAACCGAAAUAACUUCAAGGUAAUUUAGUUUUAACUUCGAGUUGGACUGAUAAUUUCUAAUUAAUUUAAAUUAAUAAGAGAAAGAUUUUUAAUAUAAAUAUCUGGUAUUUUUACGAGCAUGAUCCUUGUUCACAUUGACCUCAAAACCAUGAUAAUUUCUUAGUUAAAAUUAUGACGUCAAAUGUAGAAAACUUAAAAUAAACGUAACAAAAUGGAUUUCUUGUUUAAUUAUGAAUUAAAUAUUCAAAGUACACACUCUAAGCAGACGAUUAUUCUAAAUAAAUUUAUACUUAAAUUAUUUAAUUUAUUAAGAUUCAAGUACAACUUUUCUCAUAUUGUACGCUACUUACUUAUAUACAUAAAGGCUUUUUUUUUACAAAAAUAUAUUUAUAAUUAUUGUAAACUUUAAUAUAAUAUGAAAAUGUAUAUUAAUAUUAAGAAAAGUAGUAAUCCCAACGUCCCUUAGGGUUUUAUACGGACAAUCGAUUGUGUAAGAAAUGUCGAUUGUAAAAUUAACGGUAACUUUUAAAAAUACUAAUUUUAAAAUAUGGCGCCAUGUAACCACCGCUUGCUACAGCCAUUUUUGAUCCAAUGGUACAUAAUAAUUUUACAAUUUCAGUUAGUAAAUAAACGCCAGUUUGAUAACUGAGUCGUAUAAAUAUACUAAAAAUAAACACUUAAAGGAAGUAUUGAUGGUGUGUUCUUCGUUUUUCAUACAAAAAUUAAACAACACUGCCAACUCUAUAGCAUUCAGUAGGUGCCUUUUUCUCUCUGUGGAUUUUGAUUGAAUUGUUCGUAUAAACACCGCCUUAAAAAUUAUUAAAAAAAAUAUUCUUACCGCUUUUUCUCACUAUUGGCGUAAAUAUUAGAUUAGAUUAGAAAUCGCUAGAACCCACCUUAAAAACCAUUUCCAAACGCAUCAUUCUCGUUACCAUAAUAUUAUAUAUAUUUGAAAAAUACGCCAAAGUAUAAUAAAAGGAGGAGUUUUUUACAUCUCUACCUCAAUUUGACGUUACGACAAUAUAAUGUAAAUUUGUUACCAGUAUAAAAAUAAUUUGUUUAUGUUUUUUCUAAUAUGUCUAAAACCGUGAAACGUGUCUAUUUAUUUGUUUAAUUUUAGUAAGUUUAAGUUACCUUUAUCGAAUAUUAAAAAUAACUAUAUGUGUAUUUAGUUUUGUAAACGCGGUCCAAAUGAAUUCAUCACAAUUCUGUUUUAAAAAAACUUGACAAAAUAAAUGAUACGAUAAUUUACUUAGUUGUUAAGCGCUUGCGCACAAAUAUAUUCUCGAAUAGUGCAAUAAAUUGUCAUGCUUUAAAAAGGCAUAACUUAUAAAGGUCAGUUUCCAUGAAGCUAGUAAAAAAAUCACGCUGUAAGCUUCGAUUUUUAAAAUUCUACCACGGAAAUGCUAUUUUAAUAUGGCAACACUUGACCACCAUGUUUUGUUCGAUUUCUCUGUAUUUAAUGUGAUUUUGUUUAUACGAGUGUUUGAUAUUUUUACUAUUUAGUGUAUUUGCUACAAAUAUUUUUGAAAAAUAUACAGCCUAGAAUGAAUUAGAUGAUUAUUGUUAUUCCUUUUUAUAAUUUAUUGUAAGUCUGGUACAUAAAAAGAAAAAAAUAUUUAUAUAGGUAGUUAUGUUUAAAUAUUUGUAGCAACUUCUUUUUUUUGUUCUUUUAGUAAAUGUACAAGAUUCAGAAACUUAAUGACCAUGAUAUCUGGUGAAAGAUUGUUAACGCAUACCUAUUUAUUGAGGAGGUUAAAACUACGACAAGAUAUUAUUUAUAAAUGUUGGCAUUGUUUUCUGUAAUUUUAUUUUCCUCUUCUUUUGAAUAAAAAAAUGCCUUUUUUA